This is a non-coding RNA of Castor canadensis (American beaver), 348 nucleotides long. The record is from RefSeq and is a predicted model, not a curated record. Lineage: Eukaryota; Metazoa; Chordata; Mammalia; Rodentia; Castoridae.
GAGAGUCCUGCACUGUCACAGCGCUGAGAACAAAAAGGAAAAGGUUUGUGCAAACUCUGAUGCAUCUUCUUAAAGGAAAUAUUGGGACAGGCCUUUUAGGACUCCCAUUGCAAUUAAAAAUGCAGGCGUAGUGCUUGGGCCAAUCAGCCUUGUGUUCACAGGAAUCAUUUCCAUUCACUGUACGCACAUACUGGUACGUUGCAGUCACUUUCUGUGCCAGAGGUAAAUGUGGAUUCAUUAAAUCUAAUUUAUUUUAAAGCUGUGUGCUUAUUUAGAGCAUCGUAGCCUUGUAUGUCUGUGCUUUUCAACCAGAGGCUGUAUUUCCUUUCAUCUGUAUGUAGACACAUC